Long non-coding RNA from Prinia subflava (tawny-flanked prinia), 5743 nucleotides. RefSeq lists it as uncharacterized. NCBI's taxonomy places the organism in Eukaryota, Metazoa, Chordata, Aves, Passeriformes, Cisticolidae. The transcript is spliced from 14 exons. The record is from RefSeq and is a predicted model, not a curated record.
ACGAAGCAUGCUCAGUGGCAAAAAGCUUCGCUCCCGUGCCUGUCAAGCUCGAGGUUUGAACUCGUUCCAGAAUGCCGGAUUUACUUUUCAGGAAGGAACAGUACCUGCCUGGGCUGCGAUUUUUUUUCCCUUCCCUCCUCCUGCUCAGAGGAGUGCAAACAAUGUUCUUUUGAUGCUUUCCUGCCAGUGGGAAUCUCGCCCUGGAGAAGGAGACCAAAACUUUGCUACCUGUGAGAAACGAAGACUGCGUAGGUAGCAGUGGAAAUGAAAGCAAUUCUAUUUCCCACACAGGCUCCGUAAAUGAGUAACUUCAGUGGGAAUUGCUCAUGGAAAAGAGAAAGGAUCACCUGGAUUCUUCUGGAGCUGGGAGUCAGGGCCAGGAAUCUCCAGGAAGGACCUGCCCAAGGCACAAGAAGAAGAUCUCACCUGUCCAGAGGCUCCAUCACACCUGGAGCUUCAGGCAAGUUCCAUCUCCCCUGCUUGGAGCUCCACUGCCGAGUGCUGGUGGCAGACUGAGGGAGAAGGAGCAAACCCCAGCAUGUUAAAGCCACUCGUGGAACACAGGGCUCUGCCAGUGCUGGUGAAGCCUCUUCUGAGAAGCACAUGGAAAAUCUCCAAUCCCAAAUCCAGCUGCUCCUUCCCCCUGGCCAACAGCCUGAGGAGGAGCUGAGCACAGGUGCUCCACCCCAGCUCUGACUUCUGCUGGAUUUCUCCAUAUUCCUGAUCUCCUUUUGGCAGCUGGGUGAGAAGGGAAUGCCAUGGCCAAGGAGGGAUUGCCAAGGAGGGAUUACCAAGGUUCAAGCUGUAUUCCAAGGGAACACGAGCUCUGGAUGUCACCUCUGCUCCAGAACCGUGUGGAAACCAAGAACUGAGCAGGUCCUUUUUUAUUUCCACUCAUUUUCAGGGUGGUUUCUCCCAAAUCAAGACAAGCAGUCAGAAUUCCUUCCCGAGGAGUUGGGCCUAGCAAUAUGGCAGCGCACGUUCCAUAGGAAAUCCUGCAAAUGCUGCUGCUGCUGCUGAGCUCUGUUCCCAAGGAGGGCACAGAUCCCUGUGCUCCCUGCCCCGCUCCAGCCUUGACCACUGAGAGAUUUCUGCACCCCAAAAUUCCAACAGGAGGGCAAAUCCUGCGUUUUCAAAGAUGCUGCAGCACCAAUUUUGGCUGCUGAAAACUUUGGGGAAAAGCUGGACUCUUUUAAGCCCUCGAGCAGCGUGGUGUUAACAUUCCCAAAAAAAGCACCAUGGCAACCCCUCAGCGUUCCUGCCUUCGUGGUCAGCGAGCAGAAGUCUCCAAAGGGCAUCAGCUGAGGGGGACAAAGGCAACGUGGACACUGCAGCUUCUCCAAGGACUCACAGCCCUCCAGGGAUGUGCUUCUCUCUGCAAGCUUUCACUCCAUUUCUGCAAGAAUUUCCUGCAAACCAUGUCCCUGAGAGGAUUAGAGGAGGGGAUACCAAUUUUAUUUAUAUUUAUUUAUAAAUGGACUGCAGAGACUUGGCCCCUUCUUAAAUAUGAGAACAAUUUUCAGGCCUCUUUCAGUUGUGGUUAUUUCACUCCAGAAAAAAAAAAAAAACCAAACCCAACAAACCACAAAACAAUAGAGAAAUACGAGAAGUUGUGGAAACCCCUCAAAUUUUCUCUGUUUAAAUUUUGAAUUCCUGGUGGUCACAGGCCCAGGUGAUGCUGCCAGUUGUGGGUUUUUUGUGUAGUGCCUGGCUCAGAGCAGCAAGUUGAGUUAAAUGCAAAGCUGGGAUCAAAUCAAACAGAACGACACCUCUAUUUUUAUUUUAUUUUUAUUUUUUUUGCCAGCCUGGAGGCCUUUAACAUUUUGGAAUUCGAGUGUUUUGCAAAACAGGGUUGCUGGACUCCAGUAAAUGAAGUGUCCGGAUGUGGGUGGUGAUUCAUAAAAGCAAUUAAAAGAGGAAAGUGCUUUUCCUCUGAGCGUAAUGUCUUGGUUGUAGGAUGUCCUUAAGUGAGUGUGAAGUGCUCAGGCAGUGGGCAGGGGAUGGGGGAUCUCUGUUCCAGGUCAUGGAUCUGUUUCCAGCCAACACUUCUUUACACGUGGUGCUGCUGAUUAAAAUCAACUUUUUAUUCUCUCACAGAGUGCCGGAGGUGGGGAGGGAGCUCUGGAGAUCACCCAGAACAGCCCCCUGGGCAGGCAGGGUCACCUGGGGCAGGGACAGGGACACAUCCAGCCGGGCUUGGGAUGCUCCAGAGCCCAAAACCUCCCUGGGCAGCUGUCCCAGGGCGCUGCCACCUCCGAUGUUCUUCCUCACGUUGAGGUGGAACUUGUUGAGUUUUACUUUCUGGCCUUUUGUUCCUUUUCCUGUCACCUAAACCAGUCUGGCACCCUCCUCACACCUGCCUUGGGGAUAUUUGUAUGGAUUUAACAACUGAAUCUUAUUUUGUUUCUAUUUCCAUGUAGUUCCCAUUUCUUCCUUCUUAAAUUUGGGAACAAUCCUCCUGAAAAUGAAACAUUUUCAGUGGGUGAAAUGUGGUUGUGGCAACAGAAAUAUUGACAGAUAAUUGAAACUCAUCAAAUGUGAUUUUUUUUUUUUCUUCUCCCUGGUGCAACUCCCUGGCAUUUCUGACCUUCCCCAAAGACAAAACACCCCAAUUUUAUACAGCUUUAAGGUGAUUUUCCAGGAGCAAGGAUGGAGGUUGUUGUUGUGCACAGGAUCCAGCGUUACCUGAGCCAGAAGCAGAGCCCGAGGCCCUCCCUGCAAACUUCCCAGGUGCUUUUGCAGCCUUCCCCAGCAGCCUGGGGGCUGUUAGGGAUGCUUAAACUUCGGGAUGCUGAAACUUAGGGAUGCUUAAACUUCGGGAUGCCUAAACUUAGGGAUGCUUAAGCUUAGGGAUGUUUCUCAGGCUGGCCCGGAGCAGGCACUUCCAGGGGAUUCCUCUGUGGAGCUUUCACACAUGGAAGUUCUGCCUCCCCCUGGCUCUGCCCUUGGUUAUCCCGUGCUAAGGGAAGCAGAAGAGUUUCCUGAUUUAUCAUGGAUCAUUAGGUGGAAGUAACAAUUCCUAAAACAUCAGGAUGGAUACAAUAAUUAGGGAUGUGCUUUUGUUAACACCGCCAGCCUCUACCCUCUUGUACAGUACCCUUGGGUACUAAAUAAUUACCCACUUUGUGUGGUUAUCUAGCUCACUAAUUACCCACAAAAAUUGGGGUCAGGUGUUAACUGCUUGAAAUAAGUAUCCUCCAAAGGCUUGGCUAAAGUGUGUAAAGAAAUUAUGUGUUUGCCACAAAACUUUGGGAAAAAAAAAAUCAAACAUUUUUUUUAUUGGGAAGGAAGAUAAGGAGACAAUGGGUGUGAAAUGCUCUGUGUGAUGGCAAAAUGUUGCAGUGGUGGUGAGAGACUCUAAAUUCAGUGAAAGGAUGGUUGGCAGAUCCAGUCACUAAUCCAGACUACUUUUCCCAAAGAUUAGAUCCUUCAGUACACAGGGUUUGAGUCUUCCCCUAUCUAGGCUGGUGCCAAUCAGGAUUAUGCCGAUAUAAAUAAGAAAAUUUGUAUCCGUGGAUUCCCAGACCGACUUUGCUGCAUAAUCCCACCUCUUCCAUCACCCAGAGACUUCUGCAUUGCGCCCAAUAAUUGAAUUAUGGACAGUGUGUUUAUUUCCACGCGUUUAUUUUAGCUGUCCCCAGCUCUGUGUGCACGCAGAAUUUCACUCUGAGGCUGCUGCUCAUAAAACGCAGCUCGCUCGGAGCAAUAAUUUGAUUCCUGUGCUCAGGGAGUUACCCCAGUGAGUCAAAGAUUUCUAGAUAGCCCCACCCUCCCCAACUUCCCGAACACUCACACUGCAGCCACUUUUCUCUUUGCCAGACCCACACAAGCUGCCUAAGCAGCCAAAAUCCCAAGGGGCGAUCCCAACCUCCUGCCUGCCCUGUUUGAGCCCCAGAAAAUGGGAAAUAAAGGCAGGGCAGCCCCGAAGCCCUUGGAACACCGGCCCGGGUGACAGAGGGUUGGUUCACAGCCCUUCUUCCCACCCUGCCUUCUUGCAUAGGUGCUCCCUGCCUUCAGCACAAAGGGAUUUCAGGGGAGCUCAGAAGGUGUUUCUGGAAAUCCUUGUGCCUUUGGAUACCUUUAAUUCCUGAGUGUCUGUGCGCUGCUCAGCGUAACAAAGAAACCGCCGGGAUUUAUCGCUGUAUUUUGCUUCUAUUGAGGCGCUUCCUCUCCUCCAUAGCCAGAUCCACCUCCUGUUCCUAUAAACACCUUUUGAAGCCCGUGUGGGAUUCAGCUAUUAGACAUCCCCAUCCCCAGGUUUUGGGGGGUCUGGGGGAGGCCCCAGGACGAGGUGUGAGCGUGGUUUUGGGGCUACCUGCGCCCCGCAUUGUGCCGAGCAUCUCUGGGAAAGGCAGGGCUCAGGCUCUCGGAGCACAAUGCAGAUUUAGUCGUCAUCUUUGUCUCUCCCCCCGCGCCCCCCCGCUCCACUCCCCGCUGAUGUUAACUGUCUGUAUUAUUAUUUAUUGUUAUCAGGGGAUUUGGUUUGAUCAAUGAAGUGUAUAUGCGUCUGACGGACAUUCGGGGAGGAAAUGCUUGGAGAAUGAGUAACAUGUCUGCAGUGGAGGGUGUGUGUGAGGGAGAGAGAGAGAGAGGGAGCAUCGGUACCAGAAACAUUGACUGAUGAGUUCAUUUUAAAAUCCAAGGGCAUAUAGCUGGUAAAUUAGCACAUAUUGCAAAUAUAGUCUGGUGCGAGAGGCAGCGGCGCUGCCAUUGAGCGCAGGGGUGGGUGUGGAGGGGAAGGGGGGGUCGAGGAGAGGAGGUUGUCAGCUCUAAAGUCAUCACGGGCAUGAGCCAGGCAGUCUGCCUGCCUCACUGCAGACGCGGGGCGUGCGAUUUCCACGGGCGGCUGCGGCGUGGCGGAGGGGGGAGCGGGGGGCACCCGCGAGAGCCAGCGCCGGGCUUUAUUGUUUUAAAAUGCACAGCCAGCCGCGGGGAUGCGAGGGAAAGGGCUGCAGCCCCUCCGCUUCCCCUGCAGCCCCCGCAGCCCCUCAGGAAGGCGGAGGGGGAGCGGCUGCCCGGAGGGUCCCGGGGCCGGUGCCCGGCGGGGAUGCGGCGGGGCCGGGGAUGCGGCGGGGAUGCGCCGGCAGCUUAAGAGAUUAUUGGGAAGGGAAAGCAAUGGUGUGUGUGAGUGUGUGAGUGUGUGAGUGUGUGCGGGGCUGGCGGCGGGGGGAGCCGGGUCCUUAUUCUGUUAAAGAUUUAAGUAGGCAUGCAAGGAAUCUCUAGGAUAGUUGGCAAAGGGCGAGGGUGGGGAGGGGGGGGAAGGAUCCAAAAGAGUCUGUAACCAGACACUGAAGCUUUCCAGGAGUGAGAGUGUGUGAGAGAGAAGGAGACAGAGCGAGAGGAAGAGAGGGGGCAGUGUGGUCUAGUACAUUUUCAUCUGGUCGUUGAUUUGAGCCUGAUGCUUGCUGUCCCUCAACAGCCUCCCUUGCCUGGAUUUUUUCUUUCCCCCUCUCCUCUCCUUUCCCUUCUAAUUCAUCGAAGCCUAGGGGAGCCAGGAAAGAUUAAAUGUGCUUUCGAAAAGGCAGCCACUUCAUGCAGCUAUGUCUGCUUCCCCCCCACACCCCCCAGCCACCCCCCCGCUCCCCCUUUUUGAAAUAAAAAAAAUAAAAAAUAGGGGGAGACAGAGAGGGGGAGAAGGAAGGAGGAGGAAGAGGAGGACUGUAGUUUAAUGAUGUCGGGACUGGCUGAUCCAGAAGGAGGAAAAAAAAAAAAAAGGGAAAAAAAAGAAAAAAAAAAAAGAAAA